GGAGAUGAUCAGUCUUUGUCACUAACAGUGAACAAAACUCCUAACUGAUAUAUCCUACCUUUAAAUGGAAUGUGGAAACUGACACUGGAAGGCAUCCAAUAAGCACAUUUGCUCUUGCCUCCACCCACCGUCUUUCCUUACAGUGACACAUUUUCAUCCAUUGCCAAAGAAACAAUGCAGACGUGCCAAGGCUGAAAACCUGAGAAAGGCUGUGCUGCGGAGUGCUCAUGAGGAUGCUCAAGCGAUGGCGCAGUCUGGAGGGGGCAUCAAGUCUCCUUCAAAAGGUAAGGAUCUCUAGAUCUGGAGAAAAAAAAAAAGAUUAAAAAAUCUGUAGAAGAAUUGUCAUAAUAGUUUACAAAUAAUAACCCAAAACAAAAUAGCCGGGAUAUCUAUAAGUAGGAGACUUGAUAAACAAUCUUUGGUAUAUCCGUACAGUGGAAUACUAGUCAGUAAUAAAAAGAUAGAUGUACGGGCA
This 475-nucleotide long non-coding RNA is filed under the name Sus scrofa (pig). RNAcentral's name for it is "lncRNA (ENSSSCG00070010978.1)". The record is from RNAcentral. Lineage: Eukaryota; Metazoa; Chordata; Mammalia; Artiodactyla; Suidae.